AUUGAACGCUGGCGGCAGGCCUAACACAUGCAAGUCGAACGAGUGGCGGACGGGUUACUAAUGUCUGUGAAACUGCCUGAUGGAUGGGGAUAACUACCGGAAACGGUAGCUAAUACCGCAUACCAUCGGAUGUGCCCAGAUGGGAUUAGCUAGUAGGUGGGGCAAAGGCUCACCUAGGCGACGAUCCCUACCUGGUCUGAGAGGAUGACCAGCCACACUGGAACUGAGACACGGUCCAGACUCCUACGGGAGGCAGCAGUGGGGAAUAUUGGACAAUGGGCGAAAGCCUGAUGCAGCCAUGCCGCGUGUAUGAAGAAGGCCUUCGGGUUGUAAAGUACUUUCAGCGGGGAGGCGUUACCAGCAGAAGAAGCACCGGCUAACUCCGUGCCAGCAGCCGCGGUAAUAC
RNAcentral lists this ribosomal RNA (406 nucleotides) under uncultured bacterium. RNAcentral's name for it is "partial 16S ribosomal RNA". It matches the Rfam family "Bacterial small subunit ribosomal RNA", at positions 30 to 526 of the family's 1533-position model. The record is from RNAcentral.